Molecule: ribosomal RNA, 433 nt
Filed under: uncultured bacterium
Lineage: Bacteria
Description: partial 16S ribosomal RNA
Rfam family: Bacterial small subunit ribosomal RNA
Source: RNAcentral
AGCGAACGCUGGCGGCAGGCCUAACACAUGCAAGUCGAACGGAUCCUUCGGGAUUAGUGGCGGACGGGUGAGUAACACGUGGGAACGUGCCCUUUGGUUCGGAACAACUCAGGGAAACUUGAGCUAAUACCGGAUGUGCCCUUCGGGGGAAAGAUUUAUCGCCAUUGGAGCGGCCCGCGUCUGAUUAGCUAGUUGGUGAGGUAACGGCCCACCAAGGCGACGAUCAGUAGCUGGUCUGAGAGGAUGAUCAGCCACACUGGGACUGAGACACGGCCCAGACUCCUAUGGGAGGCAGCAGUGGGGAAUCUUGCGCAAUGGGCGAAAGCCUGACGCAGCCAUGCCGCGUGAAUGAUGAAGGUCUUAGGAUUGUAAAAUUCUUUCAGCGGGGACGAUAAUGACGGUACCCGCAGAAGAAGCUCCGGCUAACUUCGUG